Molecule: ribosomal RNA, 253 nt
Filed under: uncultured bacterium
Lineage: Bacteria
Description: partial 16S ribosomal RNA
Rfam family: Bacterial small subunit ribosomal RNA
Source: RNAcentral
GACAGAGGGUGCAAACGUUGUUCGGAAUUACUGGGCGUAAAGCGCGUGUAGGCGGCCCUGUAAGUCGGGUGUGAAAUCCCACGGCUCAACCGUGGAAGUGCACUCGAAACUACAGGGCUAGAGUCCUGGAGAGGAAGGUGGAAUGCUUGGUGUAGAGGUGAAAUUCGUAGAUAUCAAGCGAAACACCGGUGGCGAAGGCGGCCUUCUGGACAGUGACUGACGCUGAGACGCGAAAGCGUGGGGAGCAAACAGG